This 374-nucleotide ribosomal RNA is filed under the name uncultured organism. RNAcentral's name for it is "partial 16S ribosomal RNA". It matches the Rfam family "Bacterial small subunit ribosomal RNA", at positions 527 to 896 of the family's 1533-position model. The record is from RNAcentral.
AGAGGGUGCAAGCGUUAAUCGGAAUUACUGGGCGUAAAGGGCGUGUAGGUGGAACUGUAAGUCAUGUGUGAAACCCCUGGGCUCAACCUAGGAAGUGCAUAUGAUACUGCAGAUCUAGAGUACGGUAGAGGGAAGUGGAAUUUCCGGUGUAGCGGUGAAAUGCGUAGAUAUUGGAAGGAACACCAGUGGCGAAGGCGGCUUUCUGGCCCGAUACUGACACUGAGGCGCGAAAGCGUGGGUAGCGAACAGGAUUAGAUACCCUGGUAGUCCACGCUGUAAACGAUGAGUACUAGCCCGUUGGCGGCCCCAAGAGGGCUGUUAGUGGCGCAGCAAACGCGAUAAGUACUCCGCCUGGGAGUACGACCGCAAGGUUA